This 253-nucleotide ribosomal RNA is filed under the name uncultured prokaryote. RNAcentral describes it as "partial 16S ribosomal RNA". It matches the Rfam family "Bacterial small subunit ribosomal RNA", at positions 525 to 777 of the family's 1533-position model. The record is from RNAcentral.
ACGUAGGACGCAAGCGUUAUCCGGAGUUACUGGGCGUAAAGCGCGGGCAGGCGGCUCGAUGCGUCUGAUGUGAAAUCUCCUCGCUCAACGGGGAGAGGCCAUUGGAAACGGUCGAGCUGGAGGGCAGUAGAGGCAGGCGGAAUUCCGGGUGGAGUGGUGAAAUGCGUAGAGAUCCGGAGGAACACCAGAGGCGAAGGCGGCGUCCUGGCCCACAUCUGACGCUCAUACACGACAGCAUGGGGAGCGAACGGGA